RNAcentral lists this ribosomal RNA (245 nucleotides) under uncultured Peptostreptococcus sp. Its description in RNAcentral is "partial 16S ribosomal RNA". It matches the Rfam family "Bacterial small subunit ribosomal RNA", at positions 111 to 356 of the family's 1533-position model. The record is from RNAcentral. Lineage: Bacteria; Bacillati; Bacillota; Clostridia; Peptostreptococcales; Peptostreptococcaceae.
UAACGCGUGGGUAACCUGCCCUAUACACAUGGAUAACAUACUGAAAAGUUUACUAAUACAUGAUAAUAUAUAUUUACGGCAUCGUAGAUAUAUCAAAGUGUUAGCGGUAUAGGAUGGACCCGCGUCUGAUUAGCUAGUUGGUGAGAUAACUGCCCACCAAGGCGGCGAUCAGUAGCCGACCUGAGAGGGUGAUCGGCCACAUUGGAACUGAGACACGGUCCAAACUCCUACGGGAGGCAGCAGCG